CCAAUGGGGAAACACUGACGAAAGAGAAAGUAGAAGAAUGUUCCUCUCAAAAAGUCGUCCACUAGUAAUUGGCAUGAUCCAUGUGCCUGCCUUACCAGGUACACCUAAGAAUAGAAAGAAAAUUGCUGAAAUUUGUGAAAUAGUACAAAAAGAAGCUUUGAUUUACCAUAAUGCAGGAGUGGAUUCUAUAUUGGUGGAAAACAUGCAUGACCUUCCAUAUGUUCAAGGCAAAGAUAUCGGACCAGAGAUUGUCUCCUGUAUGACCAGAGUGUGUUCUGUAGCUAAACACACAUUCCAGAAAGGGAGCAGAAACCAAUAUGCAGAAAUAGUGGAAUCUCUGAGGGUUUUGUUUAGAGCACUCCCAUAUGAUAUACAAGAACGGGCAGAAAACAUUGAUUACAGUAAUUUUUACGAGGACAACAAAGAAUGUGUAUUGGCACAAUUUCCUGAUUUUAAUGAAGUAGGAAAGGGAUUCUCCAAAUCACAUGCUAAAAUAGAUGGACUUCUCAAUAUCUGUGCUAACCUUGUUGAUCAAGGCAUAUUGGACCAGGAUGUGGCAUUGGAGGAGUUUAGCAUGAGAAAAGGGUCGGACAUAUGGGUCUCUGAGAGGAAUGUGCUCAAUAAAUUCCAUAACUAUUGUCAAAUGAGAAACGUGUCCCUCAAGGUGGACGCAGUAUGGGAUGAUCAACAGGAAUUGUUUAAAGGGUUAGUGUUUGUGGAUGGUAAACUAAUGAGUGAAGCCUACGGGUGUUCAAAGAAAACUGCCAAGAUGAAGAGCUGUCUGAAAGCCCUUCAAACGGAAGAUUAUGUUGGGAUUCAGAUUUUGGCAGGUGCCAAUAAACAAGCACUGGCAGUAGCUCAGGCUGCAGAGUUAGACUUUGUAAGAGCAGAGGGCUUUGUGUACUCGCAUGUCGCAGAUGAAGGCUGGAUGGAUGCCUGUGCAGGUGGCCUGCUUCGCUUCAGAAAACAAAUUGGUGCAGAGGACAUCAACAUUUUUACAGACAUAAAAAAGAAACAUAGUGCCCAUGCAGUUACUGCUGAUGUCAGCAUUAUAGAAACAGCCAAGGCAGCAGAAUUGUUUGGGAGUGAUGGAGUUAUUGUGACAGGGACAGCCACGGGGGUAGAGACUAAUGCUACAGAAGUCCAAGAUGUGAUAAGGAACGUCUCUGUUCCAGUCCUGAUUGGUUCCGGUGUGACAGCAGCCAAUGUCAGUAACUACCAAAACGUGGGUGGCCUCAUCGUGGGGUCUCACUUCAAGAUACGCCAGCAGUGGUUUAAUGCAAUAAACAUUCCUAGGUUACUUAAGUUUGUACUUCAUGCAAGUCCUGAGAGUUACGACUAUGACAAAGUGUUUGAAACUUACAGUGAGCCAAUAGAAGCUGACUUCUCCGAUUGUGAAAGUGAUAGUGAUUUAGAUAUUGAUUAACUUGAAAAUGCCUUUAAAAUCAUCUAUCAAGUUUUGCCAAUUUUGAACAGGCCGCAGAUAAGCAAACAUAUGAGCACACAGCUGCAGAUCUCUCUGGAGUAAAAACUGGUACAGAACAGACAGAUCACACACUGGUCUGUCCCAAAUUUUCCCCAGAGAGCUACAGAUCUGCAGUCCAUGAACACACAGACGGAUGGACAGACACUACUAGUACUCCAAAAGACAGAAUUCUCAAAAUCAAUUUAAGUGGUUUUCAGAUUGUGAAUACAAAGAUUGAUUUCCAAUAUUCAAUUACAAACUUGAUGGCAUCCAAGUGCAGAUUCAUUUUAAAAACUGGGAAUUUCCAUAAGAAGAUGAUACAUCCGUCUGUAGUUCCAGACUGCUUGUAUUUCAUUGUGUAAUUUUUGUAGACAAAUUGUUUUGAGAGAAAUGUAUUUUUAGAAACAUAACAUUUCUUGUCAUGACUACCCCUCAAAAAAGUAUUAGUGCCGAGAAAUUAAAGCACUCUUACAUGUAA
RNA transcript from Ostrea edulis (European flat oyster), 1943 nucleotides. RefSeq lists it as uncharacterized. The record is from RefSeq and is a predicted model, not a curated record. The transcript has 15 exons. NCBI's taxonomy places the organism in Eukaryota, Metazoa, Mollusca, Bivalvia, Ostreida, Ostreidae.